UAGGGAAUCUUCGGCAAUGGACGAAAGUCUGACCGAGCAACGCCGCGUGAGUGAAGAAGGUUUUCGGAUCGUAAAACUCUGUUGUUAGAGAAGAACAAGGAUGAGAGUAGAAUGUUCAUCCCUUGACGGUAUCUAACCAGAAAGCCACGGCUAACUACGUGCCAGCAGCCGCGGUAAUACGUAGGUGGCAAGCGUUGUCCGGAUUUAUUGGGCGUAAAGCGAGCGCAGGCGGUUUCUUAAGUCUGAUGUGAAAGCCCCCGGCUCAACCGGGGAGGGUCAUUGGAAACUGGGAAACUUGAGUGCAGAAGAGGAGAGUGGAAUUCCAUGUGUAGCGGUGAAAUGCGUAGAUAUAUGGAGGAACACCAGUGGCGAAGGCGGCUCUCUGGUCUGUAACUGACGCUGAGGCUCGAAAGCGUGGGGAGCAAACGGG
Molecule: ribosomal RNA, 430 nt
Filed under: Fusobacteriota bacterium
Lineage: Bacteria; Fusobacteriati; Fusobacteriota
Description: Fusobacteria bacterium partial 16S ribosomal RNA
Rfam family: Bacterial small subunit ribosomal RNA
Source: RNAcentral